GGGGUCGUAUAAAAUAUAUGUGAAUGUACGCAUCAGUCACGCGCACGCGCACCAGUACACAAGACGAGGCCAUUUGCUUGAUCCUUUAUCGUGUAAAAUGAAGACCAGCAGUUCACGUCGUGCUCUUUGCUCUAAAUCUUGACGCGCGGAGCGUGUGGCAGGAGCGCUCGCAAUGCCCGACGGGCACACUGGCAGAUCACUUGACGGAUGGCUUGAAGUUCCCUCACGAAGCCGGCGUUGGCAGUGGCGCCCCUCGCUAGCACUCCCAGGCACCGGCGCUCCACGGCUAAGCGUUUGAAGUGAGCGCACCCAGCGUCUUUCUUGACAGCCCACGCAUUCCAAAAGAGAGUUAUGGGGGACUGGGGACGAGACAGAACAGAAGAGAUCUGACAAACGAGGGGAGGCCAUUCAGUCCAGCGGGCUCGUUGGUUGAGCUAAUGGCUAACAUGUCCCAAUUUCUCCUCCAGACCCUUCUUAAUGGCGGUCCAGGCUUCAACUCCACGUCUCGUUGGUGUCCUCGUGUUUGCGGAAUUCACCGUCAACUUGAAAAAAUUCAUUGAUGCCUUUGAGGAAUUUGAAGAUCUGGAUGAGGACUCCACACAGUCGACCAAGGAGAUCUGAUUCUCUGAGACAGUCACAGUGCAACAUCUCACGUGCAAUGGAAAAACCAAGGAGGUGCCAUUAUUUCCAAAAUGGACUUUUGUGUAAUUUUUGGAGUUACUACUGUAGGUCUUUCCUAAUGUUAUAAGGUGGUGGUGAUGGUUUGUACUGUCAGAGACGAGACAACGAGCCACAAAGAGAUUUGGGGCAGCCACCCGUGUUUUUAUUCCUGGCUGCAAAAUAGUUGAAUUGUGUACAGUUAUGUAGAGGUUGGAGUCCAAAACAGAACUGUCUUGAUGAGACAAAGAUGGAGAGGAGAGGAAGUGACGUCAUCAGGGCCGGAAGAGGAAGUGAUGUCAUUAUGGCCUGAACCAGAAGUG
Long non-coding RNA from Erpetoichthys calabaricus (reedfish), 980 nucleotides. RefSeq lists it as uncharacterized. The transcript is spliced from 3 exons. NCBI's taxonomy places the organism in Eukaryota, Metazoa, Chordata, Cladistia, Polypteriformes, Polypteridae. The record is from RefSeq and is a predicted model, not a curated record.